UAACCGCUGAAAGCAUCUAAGCGGGAAGCGAGCCCUGAGAUGAGUCAUCCCUGACCCCUUGAGGGUCCUAAAGGGCCGUUGGAGACCACAACGUUGAUAGGUGGGGUGUGUAAGCGCGGCGACGUGUUGAGCUAACCCAUACUAAUUACCCGUGAGGCUUAACCAUACAACACCCAAGAAGUGUUCU
This 187-nucleotide ribosomal RNA is filed under the name Aeromonas veronii. RNAcentral describes it as "partial 23S ribosomal RNA". The stretch from base 1 to 166 matches the Rfam family "Bacterial large subunit ribosomal RNA", at positions 2765 to 2925 of the family's 2925-position model. The record is from RNAcentral. Lineage: Bacteria; Pseudomonadati; Pseudomonadota; Gammaproteobacteria; Aeromonadales; Aeromonadaceae.